GAUGAACGCUGGCGGCGUGCCUAAUACAUGCCAGUCGAGCGAACAGACGAGGAGCUUGCUCCUCUGACGUUAGCGGCGGACGGGUGAGUAACACGUGGAUAACCUACCUAUAAGACUGGGAUAACUUCGGGAAACCGGAGCUAAUACCGGAUAAUAUAUUGAACCGCAUGGUUCAAUAGUGAAAGACGGUUUUGCUGUCACUUAUAGAUGGAUCCGCGCCGCAUUAGCUAGUUGGUAAGGUAACGGCUUACCAAGGCAACGAUGCGUAGCCGACCUGAGAGGAUGAUCGGCCACACUGGAACUGAGACACGGUCCAGACUCCUACGGGAGGCAGCAGUAGGGAAUCUUCCGCAAUGGGCGAAAGCUUGACGGAGCAACGCCGCGUGAGUGAUGAAGGUCUUCGGAUCGUAAAACUCUGUUAUUAGGGAAGAACAAAUGUGUAAGUAACUAUGCACGUCUUGACGGUACCUAAUCAGAAAGCCACGGCUAACUACGUG
Molecule: ribosomal RNA, 497 nt
Filed under: uncultured bacterium
Lineage: Bacteria
Description: partial 16S ribosomal RNA
Rfam family: Bacterial small subunit ribosomal RNA
Source: RNAcentral